Molecule: non-coding RNA, 73 nt
Organism: Danionella cerebrum
Lineage: Eukaryota; Metazoa; Chordata; Actinopteri; Cypriniformes; Danionidae
Source: the annotation of a GenBank genome assembly
GCCCCAAUGACCUAAUGGAUAAGGCACUGGCUUCCUUAGCCAGUGAUUUCGGGGUCAAGUCCCAUCUGGGGUG